Molecule: ribosomal RNA, 463 nt
Filed under: uncultured bacterium
Lineage: Bacteria
Description: bacterial SSU rRNA
Rfam family: Bacterial small subunit ribosomal RNA
Source: RNAcentral
CAAGCAGCGGAGCAUGUGGUUUAAUUCGAAGCAACGCGAAGAACCUUACCUAGACUUGACAUCUCCUGCAUUACUCUUAAUCGAGGAAGUCCCUUCGGGGACAGGAUGACAGGUGGUGCAUGGUUGUCGUCAGCUCGUGUCGUGAGAUGUUGGGUUAAGUCCCGCAACGAGCGCAACCCUUAUUGUUAGUUGCCAUCAUUAAGUUGGGCACUCUAGCGAGACUGCCCGGGUUAACCGGGAGGAAGGUGGGGAUGACGUCAAAUCAUCAUGCCCCUUAUGUCUAGGGCUACACACGUGCUACAAUGGUCGGUACAAUAAGACGCAAGCCCGCGAGGGGGAGCAAAACUGGAAAACCGAUCUCAGUUCGGAUUGUAGGCUGAAACUCGCCUACAUGAAGCUGGAGUUGCUAGUAAUCGCGAAUCAGCAUGUCGCGGUGAAUACGUUCCCGGGCCUUGUACACACC